Molecule: long non-coding RNA, 2736 nt
Filed under: Paramuricea clavata
Lineage: Eukaryota; Metazoa; Cnidaria; Anthozoa; Malacalcyonacea; Plexauridae
Source: RNAcentral
GAUUUAUCGGUUUUGAAAGAUGUUCCAUCUUUAUUGUCAUUGGCAAAUGAAAAACUGCCUUUGAAUUAUAAAUUGCCAAAGGAAUGUGUUUAUCUGCCGGGCUUCCACCUUCACUCGAAUUUCAAGUUGCACACGGAUGCAAGGAGGCAGAUUCGCCAUUUUAUGAAAAGCCAGAAAGCAAAAGACGCAGACUGAUUGCUGUUCCACAUUGACUAUAAGUAUAUCACGAACGGUUUUUAUAACAGCUUAUAUAAUUAAUUCUAGGUUUCGUUUUGGAUACAUCCAAAACCAUUUUCAUAAUCACUUACAGAAAAUUGGUCGAUUAGUCUCCAUAUUCUUAUCAAAUUGGUUUUGGACACACCCAAACAAUUUUCGUAAACUGUGAAACCGCCAAAUUUAUUUGCAUUUGUCUAGGAUUGGUUUUGGAUGCAUCCAAAACCAUUUUCAUUGGCGCUAAAAUCUGUAAAAUGAUUUCCAUUUUCCAAUAGGAUUGGUUUUGGACGCAUCCAAAACCAUUCUCAUGAGCUAUAAAUUGGCUAGUUUGUUUGCAUCUGUCUAGGAUUGGUUUUGGAUGCAUCCAAAACCCUUUUCAUGAGCUAUAAAUUGGCUCAUUUGUUUGCAUUUGUCUAGGGAUUGGUUUUGGAUGCAUCCAAAACCAAUCCCUGGACAAAUGCAGGAAAAUUAGCCAAUAUAUAUGUAGCUCAUGAGAAUGGUUUUGGAUGUAUCCAAAACCAAUCAUAUAAGAAAAUGGAAAUCAAUUUACUGAUUUUAGCGGUAAUGAAAUUGGUUUUGGAUGCGUCCAAAACCAAUCCCUAGACAAAUGCAAACAAAUUAGCCAAUUUAUAGCUCAUGAGGAUGGUUCUGGAUGCGUCCAAAACCGAUCCAAAAGAAAAUGGACAUCAAUUUACCGAUUUAAAAUGGUUUGGGAUGCAUCCAAGAGAUUGGUUUUGGACGCAUCCAAAACCAUUUCCAUAAGCGCUAAAAUCGGCUGAUUUGUCUGGGGAUUUUUUGCUAAAAUCAGCGAAUUGGUUUCCAUUUCUCCAGGAUAGUUUUGGACAUAUUGGUCAAUUGAUUUGCAUUUUCCUGCAGGGUUGGUUUUGGACGCGUCCGAAACCAUUCUCAUGAGCUAUAAAUUAGCUAAUUUGUUUGCAUUUGUCUAGGGAUUGGUUUUAGAUGCAUCCAAAACCAUUUUCAUUAGCGCUAAAAUUGGUGAAUUGAUUUGCAUUUUCCUGCAGGGUUGGUUUUGGACGCAUCCAAAACCAUUCUCAUGAGCUUUAAAUUGGCUAAUUUGUUCGCCUUUGUCUAGAGAUUGGUUUUGGAUGCAUCUAAAACCAUUUCCAAAUGCACUAAAAUCGGCUGAUUUGUCUGGGGAUUUUUUGCUAAAAUCAGCGAAUUGGUUUGCAUUUCUCCAGGAUGGUUUUGCACAUAUUGGUCAAUUGAUUUGCAUUUUCUCGCAGGGUUGGUUUUGGACGCGUCCAAAACCAUUCUCAUGAGCUAUAAAUUGGCUAAUUUGUUUGCAUUUGUCUAGGGAUUGGUUUUAGAUGCAUCAAAAACCAUUUUCAUUAGCGCUAAAAUUGGUGAAUUGAUUUGCAUUUCCUGCAGGGUUGGUUUUGGACGCAUCCAAAACCAUUUUCAUGAGCUUUAAAUUGGCUAAUUUGUUCGCCUUUGUCUAGAGAUUGGUUUUGGAUGCAUCUAAAACCAUUUCCAAAUACACUAAAAUCGGCUGAUUUGUCUGGGGAUUUUUUGCUAAAAUCAGCGAAUGGGUUUGCAUUUCUCCAGGAUAGUUUUGGACAUAUUGGUCAAUUGAUUUGUAUUUUCUCGCAGGGUUGGUUUUGGACGCGUCCAAAACCAUUCUCAUGAGCUAUAAAUUGGCUAAUUUGUUUGCAUUUGUCUAGGGAUUGGUUUUAGAUGCAUCCAAAACCAUUUUCAUUAGCGCUAAAAUUGGUGAAUUGAUUUGCAUUUUCCUGCAGGGUUGGCUUUGGACGCAUCCAAAACCAUUUUCAUGAGCUUUAAAUUGGCUAAUUUGUUCGCCUUUGUCUAGAGAUUGGUUUUGGAUGCAUCUAAAACCAUUUCCAAAUGCACUAAAAUCGGCUGAUUUGUCUGGGGAUUUUUUGCUAAAAUCAGCGAAUUGGUUUGCAUUUCUCCAGGAUAGUUUUGGACAUAUUGGUCAAUUGAUUUGCAUUUUCUCGCAGGGUUGGUUUUGGACGCGUCCAAAACCAUUUUCAUGAGCUUUAAAUUGGCUAAUUUGUUCGCCUUUGUCUAGAGACUGGUUUUGGAUGCAUCUAAAACCAUUUCCAAAUGCACUAAAAUCGGCUGAUUUGUCUGGGGAUUUUUUGCUAAAAUCAGCGAAUUGGUUUGCAUUUCUCCAGGAUAGUUUUGGACAUAUUGGUCAAUUGAUUUGCAUUUUCUCGCAGGGUUGGUUUUGGACGCGUCCAAAACCAUUCUCAUGAGCUAUAAAUUGGCUAAUUUGUUUGCAUUUGUCUAGGGAUUGGUUUUAGAUGCAUCAAAAACCAUUUUCAUUAGCGCUAAAAUUGGUGAAUUGAUUUGCAUUUCCUGCAGGGUUGGUUUUGGACGCAUCCAAAACCAUUUUCAUGAGCUUUAAAUUGGCUAAUUUGUUCGCCUUUGUCUAGAGAUUGGUUUUGGAUGCAUCUAAAACCAUUUCCAAAUGCACUAAAAUCGGCUGAUUUGUCUGGGGAUUUUUUGCUAAAAUCAGCGAAUUGGUUUCCAUUUCUCCAG